Molecule: ribosomal RNA, 274 nt
Filed under: uncultured bacterium
Lineage: Bacteria
Description: partial 16S ribosomal RNA
Rfam family: Bacterial small subunit ribosomal RNA
Source: RNAcentral
AUACGGAGGGUCCAAGCGUUAUCCGGAAUCAUUGGGUUUAAAGGGUCCGCAGGCGGUCAAUUAAGUCAGAGGUGAAAGCCCAUCGCUCAACGAUGGAACUGCCCUUGAUACUGGUUGACUUGAGUUAUACGGAAGUAGAUAGAAUAAGUAGUGUAGCGGUGAAAUGCAUAGAUAUUACUUAGAAUACCGAUUGCGAAGGCAGUCUACUACGUAUAUACUGACGCUGAGGGACGAAAGCGUGGGGAGCGAACAGGAUUAGAAACCCCAGUAGUCC